RNAcentral lists this ribosomal RNA (450 nucleotides) under uncultured bacterium. RNAcentral describes it as "bacterial SSU rRNA". It matches the Rfam family "Bacterial small subunit ribosomal RNA", at positions 29 to 524 of the family's 1533-position model. The record is from RNAcentral.
AACGAACGCUGGCGGCAUGCCUAACACAUGCAAGUCGAACGAAGCCUUCGGGCUUAGUGGCGCACGGGUGCGUAACGCGUGGGAAUCUGCCCUUGGGUUCGGAAUAACAGUUAGAAAUGACUGCUAAUACCGAAUGAUGUCUUCGGACCAAAGAUUUAUCGCCCAAGGAUGAGCCCGCGUCGGAUUAGCUAGUUGGUGAGGUAAAGGCUCACCAAGGCGACGAUCCGUAGCUGGUUUGAGAGGAUGAUCAGCCACACUGGGACUGAGACACGGCCCAGACUCCUACGGGAGGCAGCAGUGGGGAAUAUUGGACAAUGGGCGAAAGCCUGAUCCAGCAAUGCCGCGUGAGUGAUGAAGGCCUUAGGGUUGUAAAGCUCUUUUACCCGGGAUGAUAAUGACAGUACCGGGAGAAUAAGCCCCGGCUAACUCCGUGCCAGCAGCCGCGGUAAU